This 232-nucleotide ribosomal RNA is filed under the name uncultured bacterium. Its description in RNAcentral is "partial 16S ribosomal RNA". It matches the Rfam family "Bacterial small subunit ribosomal RNA", at positions 524 to 753 of the family's 1533-position model. The record is from RNAcentral.
UACGAAGGGGGCUAGCGUUGCUCGGAAUCACUGGGCGUAAAGGGUGCGUAGGCGGGUCUUUAAGUCAGGGGUGAAAUCCUGGAGCUCAACUCCAGAACUGCCUUUGAUACUGAGGAUCUUGAGUUCGGGAGAGGUGAGUGGAACUGCGAGUGUAGAGGUGAAAUUCGUAGAUAUUCGCAAGAACACCAGUGGCGAAGGCGGCUCACUGGCCCGAUACUGACGACUGACGGCA